UACGGAGGGAGCUAGCGUUGUUCGGAAUUACUGGGCGUAAAGCGCACGUAGGCGGCUUUGUAAGUUAGAGGUGAAAGCCCGGGGCUCAACCUCGGAAUUGCCUUUAAGACUGCGUCGCUUGAAUCCGGGAGAGGUGAGUGGAAUUCCGAGUGUAGAGGUGAAAUUCGUAGAUAUUCGGAAGAACACCAGUGGCGAAGGCGGCUCACUGGACCGGCAUUGACGCUGAGGUGCGAAAGCGUGGGGAGCAAACAGG
Molecule: ribosomal RNA, 253 nt
Filed under: uncultured bacterium
Lineage: Bacteria
Description: partial 16S ribosomal RNA
Rfam family: Bacterial small subunit ribosomal RNA
Source: RNAcentral